UAAUUUCUCUUUUUGGGUUGUAAUUUUAUUUCUAAGUAAAUGUUUGUUUAAGCCUUCAAGAAUAUUAUGAUUAUAAUCUUUUGGAAAAAGGCUUAAAUAUGUCACUGAACUAUUAGAAAUGACUCAUUUAUGACAUUCGUUAAAAGUUCGGCUCAUUCAUGCCAUUGCCGUUACGAAACAGACCCAUUCAUGCCAUUACUUUUUAACAGCCGAUUUUUUUAAAAAUUUUUGCCACGUGACAUCUUAUUAGAGGUCCACGUUAUUAAGUACAAUAAAUUAAUUUUAAUUAAAAUAAAAAACAUGAGACCCAUUUAAUAUCCCAUCCAUUAAAUUACCCGAUCCACAUCCAUUCAAUAUUACUCUUCCGAUGGAUCUAAGUUCACAUAUUCUGGAAAACUAAACCCGCGAAAGUGAAAAAGAACCAUGAAUGAGGGUUAAAAAAAUGUUGGUUCUUCGGUUGAUAGACAAAUGACAUCAUUUAUUCCAGAAUUGGUUAAUCUUAGGUAUAGGUCGGGCAUAAAAUAGCCGUCUGAAGACGAUUUUGGUUCUGCAUCUUAUACGGAUCCCGAGCUUUGUUUGAAUGCUAUAUGUGCUUUGUACCGUCAACAAAUUUCUAGAAACAAAUUCUCCUCGAUGAGUAAGAAUGACAAAAAAAGGAUUACUGCUUUAGGGGUGUUUCUGUGUGAUGAGGAUCGCGAAAACAAGCUCAAGAGAACAAUUUCGGAGGUUGGACCGGAAGAUCUUUGGAGAUGCAAGACACUGUCUAUUCAAUACUACUGCCAAAUAUAUGGGAUUUACAAUAGCAAGAAAGACCAUCUGUUCUGCCCCGGUGCUGCUAUCUGGAAAUUAAGCUCCAGUUGACGCGAAGGCUGUCUGCUUGUCUCUAUGUGUACAAAUGCUCAAAACGAGGGUCUAGUUGUUGCACCAGACUCCGAGGGAGCUCGGCAAAAAGUUCUUAUACUAGACUUGCUUUGUUAGAAGGAACAAUUAGGUGCUUAUCGUUAAUCUGUUGGACUUCAAUGUAGUAAUUUGAUUAUGAAUUGCUAUAUUUAUAGAAUGGUUUGAGUACAAUUGAACAGUGGAGGCAUGUUAUGUAUCGUCACAUUAUUCGUACAGCUAUUCGAAACCAUGUUUGCUC
Molecule: long non-coding RNA, 1138 nt
Organism: Capsicum annuum
Lineage: Eukaryota; Viridiplantae; Streptophyta; Magnoliopsida; Solanales; Solanaceae
Exons: 2
Source: RefSeq, a predicted model, not a curated record